GACGAACGCUGGCGGCGUGCUUAACACAUGCGAGUCGAACGAAGAGCGAUGGACGCUUGCUUCUAUCACUCUUAGUGGCGAACGGGUGAGUAACGCGUAAUCAACCUGCCCUUCAGAGGGGGACAACAGUUGGAAACGACUGCUAAUACCGCAUACGAUCUAAUCUCGGCAUCGAGGAUAGAUGAAAGGUGGCCUCUACAUGUAAGCUAUCACUGAAGGAGGGGAUUGCGUCUGAUUAGCUAGUUGGAGGGGUAACGGCCCACCAAGGCGAUGAUCAGUAGCCGGUCUGAGAGGAUGAACGGCCACAUUGGGACUGAGACACGGCCCAGACUCCUACGGGAGGCAGCAGUGGGGAAUCUUCCGCAAUGGACGAAAGUCUGACGGAGCAACGCCGCGUGAGUGAUGACGGCCUUCGGGUUGUAAAGCUCUGUUAAUCGGGACGAAAGGCCUUCUUGCGAAUAGUGAGAAGGAUUGACGGUACCGGAAUAGAAAGCCACGGCUAACUACGUG
RNAcentral lists this ribosomal RNA (510 nucleotides) under uncultured bacterium. RNAcentral's name for it is "partial 16S ribosomal RNA". It matches the Rfam family "Bacterial small subunit ribosomal RNA", at positions 28 to 507 of the family's 1533-position model. The record is from RNAcentral.